GCUGCCAGUGUCUUAGAUCUUAAUUCCACGACAUGAUGCAUCAAGAAAAGAUUCUCCCUUGAACCAUAAACCAACAAUUUUAUUUUUUUGGUAAAUAACCAACAAUUGUAUUGACGGACUAUGUUACCACACCAUGUGAAUCUACUCCACCAGCCAAAAGUAGCGAGUACAAAUUAAACAGAGAAAUACCCAUAAGCCUUGGUUCAUGGUCGGGAAACUAUCUAAAUAGGUUGUCUCUUCGCUGAGCGAGUUUCAGGAAAUGAAUAUUGUGGAAUCUACUCCACCAGCCAAAAGUAGCGAGUACAAAUUAAACAGAGAAAUACCCAUAAGCCUUGGUUCAUGGUCGGGAAACUAUCUAAAUAGGUUGUCUCUUCGCUGAGCGAGUUUCAGGAAAUGAAUAUUGUGGUCGUGAAGAGUAGCGUCGAUCACC
RNAcentral lists this long non-coding RNA (430 nucleotides) under Elaeis guineensis (African oil palm). RNAcentral's name for it is "long non-coding RNA (EGUI_LNC011032)". Lineage: Eukaryota; Viridiplantae; Streptophyta; Magnoliopsida; Arecales; Arecaceae. The record is from RNAcentral.